GAAAUGCGAUAAGUAAUGUGAAUUGCAGAAUUCAGUGAAUCAUCGAAUCUUUGAACGCACCUUGCGCUCCUUGGUAUUCCGAGGAGCAUGCCUGUUUGAGUGUCAUUAAAUUCUCAACCUCACCCAUUUUGUCAUGAAAUGGUCUGUGUAGGCUUGGAUGUGGAGGUGUUGCAGGUCCCUAGCGGUCUGCUCCUCUGAAAUGCAUUAGUGGGUUUGGCCCCUAAAUCUAUUGGUGUGAUAAUUAUCUACGCCAUGUUGAUCUAGGAUCUACAAAGAACCUGCUGACAACCGUCCGUCUCGGACAACUUGACAUUUUUGACCUCAAAUCAGGUAAGACUACCCGCUGAACUUAA
This 353-nucleotide unclassified non-coding RNA is filed under the name uncultured Agaricales. Its description in RNAcentral is "sequence contains ITS1". The stretch from base 1 to 105 matches the Rfam family "5.8S ribosomal RNA", at positions 50 to 154 of the family's 154-position model. The record is from RNAcentral. RNAcentral also lists the same sequence under 1 other name. Lineage: Eukaryota; Fungi; Basidiomycota; Agaricomycetes; Agaricales.